Sturnus vulgaris (Common starling) is the source of this 678-nucleotide non-coding RNA. NCBI's taxonomy places the organism in Eukaryota, Metazoa, Chordata, Aves, Passeriformes, Sturnidae. The record is from RefSeq and is a predicted model, not a curated record.
CAAAGGAUGUACCUGGUAGUGAGGUGUGGGCUCUUUAAUUAUUUCCAGUGUUAAAGCUGUGAAAGGAAGCUGUUUAUGCUUUGGCUGGCAGCAAAGCAGAGCUACCUCUUAACUCUCUUAAGAUCUGAAAUAGUAGAAAAAAGAAAAAGUAACUCAGGCCCCAGCUCCUCAACUGCAACUACUGGAUGCAUCCCUGGUCAGAUCCUUCAGGGAGUUUCUUAGGAUUAGAUUGGGACUGUUGUCAUCAGCCUCAGGAGCUCCUGAAGGGUGAAGAGCAAGUGGUGAUGAAUGCUCAAAAUCAGGAAAAGUGAAAAUUGCAGUGUGUUGAUUUGCAGUGAUUGAGAAUGUUCCAGUUUUUAACAGCCACCUUUGACUGAAAUGGACAUUAAAGGGCACUUUCAAGUUAAACUCAUCACGAGACUAUGUGAAAAUGAGAGUGUCUGAUGUCUGUUUUAGGGCUAGAAUCACUGUUACUGGAGGCUAAAUUCCUGAAAAGUACUGCAUCCACACUGAGGACAGAAGAACAUAAUGUGAGCAAGUUCAGAAAAAACCCAAACCUGUCCACAACUGCACAAGGUGAUAAAGAAAGGACCGGGGUUUCCAGAAGCACCUCUUUUAUGGGGUUGGAUGUUCUGCUGCUUGCCUGCCAUGAGUUUAAAAUGUGCCAGCUGUGGAAAA